This 203-nucleotide long non-coding RNA is filed under the name Elaeis guineensis (African oil palm). RNAcentral describes it as "long non-coding RNA (EGUI_LNC001052)". The record is from RNAcentral. Lineage: Eukaryota; Viridiplantae; Streptophyta; Magnoliopsida; Arecales; Arecaceae.
GAAAUGUAAAAAAUAUAUCCCACCAAUAAGACUAACUUUUAAUCCAUCAAAAUAGAACAGUACCUUUUAAUCCAUCAGAACUUAUAAACAUAAGAUUCCAUACGCACGUAACUUCAAACAAAGCCUUCGCAAAAGUCAAACAGAUAUUGAUAAUUAAAGCACAUUUUCCUUUAUGUUCGAGUAAAUCAGUAUCUUCUUGAUCA